RNAcentral lists this microRNA (22 nucleotides) under Magallana gigas (Pacific oyster). RNAcentral's name for it is "Mgi-Mir-184-P8b_3p (mature (guide))". The record is from RNAcentral. Lineage: Eukaryota; Metazoa; Mollusca; Bivalvia; Ostreida; Ostreidae.
UGGACGGAGGUCUGAUAAGGGA